Schistosoma mansoni is the source of this 45-nucleotide non-coding RNA. NCBI's taxonomy places the organism in Eukaryota, Metazoa, Platyhelminthes, Trematoda, Strigeidida, Schistosomatidae. The record is from Rfam.
AUCCAUCUGACGAGUCCCAAAUAGGACGAAACGCGCGUCCUGGAU